UAUCUCUCUCUAUAGAUCUCUUAUCAGCAGUUGGAGGAACUUGUCUAAAGUUUACUAACCAAAGGUAUGGCUAAGUUGUGCAGCAGUCAUUUUUCACAGCCACACGAGAAAAGCCUGGAAAAGCGAAAUCGGAAAGAUUUCCUAAAGGUUAUUUUGCACACUCUCAUUGACGCCAUCAAUACGACGACAACGAUUCACAAUCCAAAAAAAAUCCUAUGCGAAAACCUAGAGCUUCAAUCGAGGAAGGGGAAUCGGCGAUCAAAGUACGGAAUGCUCUCUACGAGCCUUGAGAAAAGGCGCAAACGAA
Long non-coding RNA from Orbicella faveolata, 307 nucleotides. NCBI's taxonomy places the organism in Eukaryota, Metazoa, Cnidaria, Anthozoa, Scleractinia, Merulinidae. The record is from RefSeq and is a predicted model, not a curated record.